This 921-nucleotide ribosomal RNA is filed under the name Bacillus sp. (in: firmicutes). RNAcentral's name for it is "bacterial SSU rRNA". It matches the Rfam family "Bacterial small subunit ribosomal RNA", at positions 87 to 1010 of the family's 1533-position model. Lineage: Bacteria; Bacillati; Bacillota; Bacilli; Caryophanales; Bacillaceae. The record is from RNAcentral.
UGAAGUUAGCGGCGGACGGGUGAGUAACACGUGGGUAACCUGCCCAUAAGACUGGGAUAACUCCGGGAAACCGGGGCUAAUACCGGAUAACAUUUUGAACUGCAUGGUUCGAAAUUGAAAGGCGGCUUCGGCUGUCACUUAUGGAUGGACCCGCGUCGCAUUAGCUAGUUGGUGAGGUAACGGCUCACCAAGGCAACGAUGCGUAGCCGACCUGAGAGGGUGAUCGGCCACACUGGGACUGAGACACGGCCCAGACUCCUACGGGAGGCAGCAGUAGGGAAUCUUCCGCAAUGGACGAAAGUCUGACGGAGCAACGCCGCGUGAGUGAUGAAGGCUUUCGGGUCGUAAAACUCUGUUGUUAGGGAAGAACAAGUGCUAGUUGAAUAAGCUGGCACCUUGACGGUACCUAACCAGAAAGCCACGGCUAACUACGUGCCAGCAGCCGCGGUAAUACGUAGGUGGCAAGCGUUAUCCGGAAUUAUUGGGCGUAAAGCGCGCGCAGGUGGUUUCUUAAGUCUGAUGUGAAAGCCCACGGCUCAACCGUGGAGGGUCAUUGGAAACUGGGAGACUUGAGUGCAGAAGAGGAAAGUGGAAUUCCAUGUGUAGCGGUGAAAUGCGUAGAGAUAUGGAGGAACACCAGUGGCGAAGGCGACUUUCUGGUCUGUAACUGACACUGAGGCGCGAAAGCGUGGGGAGCAACAGGAUUAGAUACCUGGUAGUCACGCCGUAAACGAUGAGUGCUAAGUGUAGAGGUUUCGCCCUUUAGUGCUGAAGUAACGCAUAAGCACUCCGCCUGGGGAGUACGCCGCAAGCUGAACUCAAAGAAUUGACGGGGCCCGCACAAGCGGUGGAGCAUGUGGUUUAAUCGAAGCACGCGAAGACCUUACAGGUCUUGACAUCCUCUGAAACCCUAGAGAUAGG